AUUUAUUUAUUUAUUUUUUAUUUCUUUUUGGUGAAUAUAAGUUUGUGAUUUUAGAUGAGUUGGAAUUUGACUGUUUAUUCAUUUUAGUUUGAUGUUCUUGACCAUUGUUUCUGAAGCUGUAAAUGAGCUGAUAUUGAUAUUUUAUAUUUUGGGGCUUCAGACUGAUGGCAUUUAUGGGUUAGCUAAGAAAGAAGGAGGCAGUGCUAGGUGGUGAUGAGUUCAAUGUGGUAACAGUGCGGUUGGGAUUUGUGGUUGAUCAUUAUGAUGUUGGUAUCAUGGAGUGGCGGUAGUGUGCAGUGUGAAAGAAGAAAAUUGGAAUGGGUGAUGGUGGAGGGGGAGGAAGGUGGCUGAAUUAAGGUGUUGACUGUUGAGGCAGUGUAAGCAAGGAAGGAGAUAGUUGUCAGGUGGAGGGAGGUUGUUGUUCAUGGCUCUUAGAGAGAGAGAGAGAGAGA
Molecule: unclassified non-coding RNA, 452 nt
Filed under: Hevea brasiliensis (rubber tree)
Lineage: Eukaryota; Viridiplantae; Streptophyta; Magnoliopsida; Malpighiales; Euphorbiaceae
Source: RNAcentral